GAUGAACGCUGGCGGCGUGCCUAAUACAUGCAAGUCGAGCGAACAGACGAGGAGCUUGCUCCUCUGACGUUAGCGGCGGACGGGUGAGUAACACGUGGAUAACCUACCUAUAAGACUAGGAUAACUUCGGGAAACCGGAGCUAAUACCGGAUAAUAUAUUGAACCGCAUGGUUCAAUAGUGAAGGACGGUUUUGCUGUCACUGAUAGAUGGAUCCGCGCCGCAUUAGCUAGUUGGUAAGGUAACGGCUUACCAAGGCAACGAUGCGUAGCCGACCUGAGAGGGUGAUCGGCCACACUGAAACUGAGACACGGUCCAGACUCCUACGGGAGGCAGCAGUAGGGAAUCUUCCGCCAUGGGCGAAAGCCUGACGGAGCAACGCCGCGUGAGUGAUGAAGGUCUUCGGAUCGUAAAACUCUGUUAUUAGGGAAGAACAAAUGUGUAAGUAACUAUGCACGUCUUGACGGUACCUAAUCAGAAAGCCACGGCUAACUACGUG
RNAcentral lists this ribosomal RNA (497 nucleotides) under uncultured bacterium. Its description in RNAcentral is "partial 16S ribosomal RNA". It matches the Rfam family "Bacterial small subunit ribosomal RNA", at positions 28 to 507 of the family's 1533-position model. The record is from RNAcentral.